RNAcentral lists this ribosomal RNA (485 nucleotides) under Watasenia scintillans (sparkling enope). RNAcentral describes it as "partial 16S ribosomal RNA". The record is from RNAcentral. Lineage: Eukaryota; Metazoa; Mollusca; Cephalopoda; Oegopsida; Enoploteuthidae.
GAUUUACUUAACAAGAUGUGCGUUAACGUUGUAUAGUUAUGUGUUGAUUGUUAAGUGGUAGUGAUAUGUUUAACGUUUUUCAUGAUAGCUAGUUUAUUAUUGAGAACAUUUAAGUGUUAUUAUAUCAAAAAAUUUUUUUUGAUAUAAGUUAAUCGUAUGAGGGAUAAGCUUCAUAUGUUUGUGUAGAAUAAAGUAAAUUAAAUAAAGAUUUAAGUAGAAUUAAUAAUGUUUUUCUUUUCAAAGUAGUUUAAAUCUAGGUUUAUAAUAUUGUGUUCAUGUAAGUAUUUAAUAGAUGUUUAUUAACUUAGUAUAGAUAAUUAUAAUGUUAAUAUGAGUAUUAGUUCAAGUUUUAGAUAAUUAAAUUGUUUAUAUAAUUGUUUAAGGUAGAUAUUUAAAUUAUGAUAAAGUAAAAUAAAGGAAUUCGGCAAAUAUUAAUCUCGCCUGUUUAUCAAAAACAUGUCUCUUUGUAUAAUACAAAUAAAGAG